GACGAACGCUGGCGGCGUGCUUAACACAUGCAAGUCGAGCGGUAAGGCCCUUUCGGGGGUACACGAGCGGCGAACGGGUGAGUAACACGUGGGUGACCUGCCCUCAGCUCUGGGAUAAGCCUGGGAAACCGGUCUAAUACCGGAUAUGACUCCAUGACGCAUGUUGUGGGGUGAAAGCCUUGUGCGGCUGAGGAUGGGCCCCGCGGCCUAUCAGCUUGUUGGUGGGUGAUGCCGUACCAA
Molecule: ribosomal RNA, 240 nt
Filed under: uncultured bacterium
Lineage: Bacteria
Description: partial 16S ribosomal RNA
Rfam family: Bacterial small subunit ribosomal RNA
Source: RNAcentral